RNAcentral lists this ribosomal RNA (729 nucleotides) under uncultured eukaryote. RNAcentral's name for it is "SSU rRNA". It matches the Rfam family "Eukaryotic small subunit ribosomal RNA", at positions 670 to 1426 of the family's 1831-position model. The record is from RNAcentral.
CGGGUGCACUGAUCCGGCCGGGCCUUUCCCUCUGUGGAACCCCAUGGCCUUCACUGGCUGUGCGGGGGAAACAGGACUUUUACUGUGAAAAAAUUAGAGUGCUCCAGGCAGGCCUAUGCUCGAAUACAUUAGCAUGGAAUAAUAGAAUAGGACGCGUGGUUCUAUUUUGUUGGUUUCUAGGACCGCCGUAAUGAUUAAUAGGGACAGUCGGGGGCAUCAGUAUUCAAUUGUCAGAGGUGAAAUUCUUGGAUCUAUUGAAGACUAACUACUGCGAAAGCAUUUGCCAAGGAUGUUUUCAUUGAUAAGGAACGAAAGUUAGGGGAUCGAAGACGAUCAGAUACCGUCGUAGUCUUAACUAUAAACUAUGCCGACUAGGGAUCGGACGAUGUUAUUUCUUGACGCGUUCGGCACCUUUCGAGAAAUCAAAGUGCUUGGGCUCCAGGGGGAGUAUGGUCGCAAGGCUGAAACUUAAAGAAAUUGACGGAAGGGCACCACCAGGGGUGGAACCUGCGGCUUAAUUUGACUCAACACGGGGAAACUCACCAGGUCCAGACACAGUGAGGAUUGACAGAUUGAGAGCUCUUUCUUGAUUCUGUGGGUGGUGGUGCAUGGCCGUUCUUAGUUGGUGGAGUGAUUUGUCUGCUUAAUUGCGGUAACGAACGAGACCUUAACCUGCUAAAUAGCCCGUACUGCUCUGGCAGUUCGCCGGCUUCUUAGAGGGACUAUCGG